UCUAAAAAAAAAUUUGAAUGGUGCUAUGACAUACAUUCUCACUGAAACUGUUAAGGAAAACCCUCAAAUAACAUAUGGGGGUUUGCUUGACACCAUGGCCAAUCACAUUGAAAAUAUUAACAGCGAAAGAUGGAUCAAGUCAAGGAUCAUAAGGAAAGUACUUCGACACAAAACCUUACAGGAACCGAUGCUGUCAUCUUCUACAAAGUUUGAGGUUAACGACGCGAAAUUUAUCUUGUAAUGAAGAUCUAUCAUUGCAACCACUGUUAACUAAUUUGCAAACGCAUCAAUUGUUUCUUAAUAUGUUUUUCUAUAUAAAUUACAUAGCUAGUUUGACUAAGGUGGAAAUAAUCUCAUGUACAGUUAGUUACAAAUUGAUAACGGCUGCACAAUCGUGUAAUUACGAGGGAACCAAAUUGAUCCAAGACAAUUUGCUUU
Molecule: long non-coding RNA, 438 nt
Organism: Prunus dulcis (almond)
Lineage: Eukaryota; Viridiplantae; Streptophyta; Magnoliopsida; Rosales; Rosaceae
Exons: 2
Source: RefSeq, a predicted model, not a curated record